UUCUGACCGUAAACUAUGCCAACUAGCGAUCCGCCGGUGGAUUUUUAGCCCUGGUGGGUAGCUUCCCGGAAACGAAAGUCUUCCGGUUCCGGGGGAAGUAUGGUUGCAAAGCUGAAACUUAAAGGAAUUGACGGAAGGGCACCACCAGGAGUGGAGCCUGCGGCUUAAUUUGACUCAACACGGGGAAACUCACCCGGCCCGGACACCGUAAGGAUUGACAGAUUGAGAGCUCUUUCAUGAUUCGGUGGUUGGUGGUGCAUGGCCGUUCUUAGUUCGUGGAUCGAUUUGUCUGGUUUAUUCCGAUAACGAGCGAGACUCUAGCCUACUAAAUAGUUGUGGGAUUAUCGCUGUCCCAACAGCUUCUUAGAGGGAUUUUCGGUGUUUAGCCGCACGAGAUUGAGCAAUAACAGGUCUGUGAUGCCCUUAGAUGUCCGGGGCUGCACGCGCGCUACACUGGCGAAAUCAGCGUGCUUCCCAUCCAUUCUCGAAAGGGAUUGGUAAACCCAUGAAAAUUUGCCGUGCUUGGGAUCGGAAAUUGCAAUUAUUUUCCGUGAACGAGGAAUUCCAAGUAAGUGCGAGUCAUCAACUCGCUCUG
This 595-nucleotide ribosomal RNA is filed under the name unidentified nematode. RNAcentral describes it as "SSU rRNA". It matches the Rfam family "Eukaryotic small subunit ribosomal RNA", at positions 1024 to 1643 of the family's 1831-position model. The record is from RNAcentral. Lineage: Eukaryota; Metazoa; Nematoda.